UUUUGUGGAUGAUGAGAAUCAUAAAAAUUAUCACAGUUAUCCCUGUCUGAGACUUCUGUGCUGAAUAUUGUGAUCUGACACACAA
Amaranthus tricolor (Joseph's coat) is the source of this 85-nucleotide small nucleolar RNA. RefSeq annotates it as small nucleolar RNA R38. The transcript has a single exon. Lineage: Eukaryota; Viridiplantae; Streptophyta; Magnoliopsida; Caryophyllales; Amaranthaceae. The record is from RefSeq and is a predicted model, not a curated record.